This 423-nucleotide ribosomal RNA is filed under the name uncultured Succiniclasticum sp. RNAcentral's name for it is "bacterial SSU rRNA". It matches the Rfam family "Bacterial small subunit ribosomal RNA", at positions 358 to 774 of the family's 1533-position model. Lineage: Bacteria; Bacillati; Bacillota; Negativicutes; Acidaminococcales; Acidaminococcaceae. The record is from RNAcentral.
GGAAUCUUCCACAAUGGACGAAAGUCUGAUGGAGCAACGCCGCGUGAGUGAAGAAGGUUUUCGGAUCGUAAAACUCUGUUGUUGGAGAAGAACACGUUUGAGAGUAACUGUUCAGACGUUGACGGUAUCCAACCAGAAAGCCACGGCUAACUACGUGCCAGCAGCCGCGGUAAUACGUAGGUGGCAAGCGUUGUCCGGAAUUAUUGGGCGUAAAGCGCAUGUAGGCGGUGCCUUAAGUCUGUCGUGAAACUGCGGGGCUUACCCCCGUAUGGCGAUGGAAACUGAGGCACUUGAGUGCAGGAGAGGAAAGGGGAACUCCCAGUGUAGCGGUGAAAUGCGUAGAUAUUGGGAAGAACACCGGUGGCGAAGGCGCCUUUCUGGACUGUGUCUGACGCUGAGAUGCGAAAGCCAGGGUAGCGAACG